AACGCACCUUGCGCUCCUUGGUAUUCCUCGGAGCAUGCCUGUUUGAGUAUCAUGAAAUCAUCAAAGCCGGUCUUUUGUUAAUUCAAUAGACUUCGCUUUGGACUUGGAGGCUCUGCAGAUUCACGUCUGCUCCUCUCAAAUGCAUUAGCUGGAUCUCGGUGAACUUGGUUCCACUCGGCGUGAUAAGUAAUUGCUCGCUGAGGACGCCCGUUAAAAAAGGCGGCCAGGAUUUACUGACGAACCGCUUCCAACGGUCUAUUGGCUUAGACGACAACCUUUAUGAUCUGAUCUCAAAUCAGGUAGGACUACCCGCUGAACUUAA
Molecule: unclassified non-coding RNA, 322 nt
Filed under: uncultured fungus
Lineage: Eukaryota; Fungi
Description: partial contains 5.8S ribosomal RNA, internal transcribed spacer 2, and large subunit ribosomal RNA
Source: RNAcentral